UUUUUUUUUUUAUAUUUAACUAUUAAAAUUAUAUAACAAGUAUUAUGCUUAUAAUCAUACUAAAUUUAUCAAAUUUAUUCAUUUUUCCUUCUUUUCCCUCCCAUUGCUCUAUCCAUUUUAUUUCUCUCCAAUAUUCCUACAUUCAUUAUCCCAAACUAAAGAUUCACAAAAAUUAAAAUUAAAAUAGAAAAUCAUCUGCCUUCAAACCACGAAUCAUAGGCACAAAUGAGAAGGAUAAUAGCAAAACAGAGUUCCCCAGGAAUUUACCUCUUGAAGUUCCAGUUUUGCUAAUUGGUUUGCUCCUGCCACAUUGGAAUUUGGAUUUUUAUCUUUCGAAAUCCAUUGGCCUACAUAAUUCACUGGGUCUUCCCAAAAAAGGACAGUUAUGUAAUUUAAUUAAAUGUCUUGUGAGAUUUGUGAUGAUAAUAAAG
This 431-nucleotide unclassified non-coding RNA is filed under the name Hevea brasiliensis (rubber tree). The record is from RNAcentral. Lineage: Eukaryota; Viridiplantae; Streptophyta; Magnoliopsida; Malpighiales; Euphorbiaceae.